UGCGUAGGCGGCUUGUCAAGCCAGAGGUGAAAGGCAUUGGCUCAACCAAUGUAAGCCUUUGGAACUGACGCGCUUGAGUACAGGAGAGGUAAGUGGAAUUCCUAGUGUAGAGGUGAAAUUCGUAGAUAUUAGGAGGAACACCAGUGGCGAAGGCGACUUACUGGACUGUAACUGACGCUGAGGCACGAAAGCGUGGGUAGCGAACA
Molecule: ribosomal RNA, 206 nt
Filed under: uncultured bacterium
Lineage: Bacteria
Description: partial 16S ribosomal RNA
Rfam family: Bacterial small subunit ribosomal RNA
Source: RNAcentral